GCCUCGGUAGCCUAGCCUGGUGGGGCAUCGCCUUGGUAAGGCGGUGGUCGCGGGUUCAAAUCCCGCCCGAGGCUCCA
RNAcentral lists this transfer RNA (77 nucleotides) under Candidatus Bathyarchaeota archaeon. Its description in RNAcentral is "tRNA-Thr". It matches the Rfam family "tRNA". From Rfam's summary of the family: Transfer RNA (tRNA) molecules are approximately 80 nucleotides in length. Their secondary structure includes four short double-helical elements and three loops (D, anti-codon, and T loops). The record is from RNAcentral. Lineage: Archaea; Thermoproteati; Candidatus Bathyarchaeota.